UACAGAGGUGCCAAGCGUUAGGCAGAAUCACUGGGCUUAAAGCGCGUGUAGGUGGAUGGGUAAGUACCUUGUGAAAUCCCACGGCUCAACCGUGGAACUGCUUGGUAUACUGCUUGUCUUGAGGCACUCAGGGGCAGCUGGAACAAAUGGUGGAGCGGUGAAAUGCGUAGAUAUCAUUUGGAACGCCAAAGGUGAAAACAGGCUGCUGGGAGUGAUCUGACACUGAGACGCGAAAGCCAGGGGAGCAAACGGG
This 253-nucleotide ribosomal RNA is filed under the name uncultured bacterium. RNAcentral describes it as "partial 16S ribosomal RNA". It matches the Rfam family "Bacterial small subunit ribosomal RNA", at positions 524 to 776 of the family's 1533-position model. The record is from RNAcentral.